RNAcentral lists this ribosomal RNA (442 nucleotides) under uncultured bacterium. RNAcentral describes it as "partial 16S ribosomal RNA". It matches the Rfam family "Bacterial small subunit ribosomal RNA", at positions 339 to 795 of the family's 1533-position model. The record is from RNAcentral.
CUACGGGCGGCUCCAGUGGGGAAUAUUGGACAAUGGAGGAAACUCUGAUCCAGCAAUUCCGCGUGGAUGAAGAAGGCUUUCGGGUUGUAAAGUCCUUUCAGCAGGGAAGAAGCAAGUGACGAUACCUGCAGAAGAAGCACCGGCUAAUUACGUGCCAGCAGCCGCGGUAAGACGUAAGGUGCAAGCGUUAUCCGGAUUUACUGGGCUUAAAGGGCAUCUAGGCGGCUAAAUAAGUCAGAGGUGAAAAGUCUGGGCUCAACCGAGGCCUUGCCUUUGAAACUGUUUAGCUAGAGUACGGGAGAGGAGGGCGGAACUACAAGUGUAGCGGUGAAAUGCGUAGAUAUUUGUAGGAAUGCCGAUGACGAAGGUAGCUCUCUGGACCGCUACUGACGCUGAAGUGCGAAAGCUAGGGGAGCGAACAGGAUUAGAUACCCGGGUAGUC